AUACCUUUCUCGGCCUUUUGGUUAAGAUCAAGUGUAGUAUCUGUUCUUAUCAGUUUAAUAUAUAUCUGAUAUGCUCGUCCAUGUGACGGCGCGAUAUUAAAUUAACUUUUUUCAUGGGGGCAGCUUGCUGCUGGGGUUCUCACGCGUCGCCUUUGUGUUGCACUAUUGCAAUGGCCUGGCGCACCCCCA
This is a small nuclear RNA of Papaver somniferum (opium poppy), 189 nucleotides long. RefSeq annotates it as U2 spliceosomal RNA. The transcript has a single exon. The record is from RefSeq and is a predicted model, not a curated record. Lineage: Eukaryota; Viridiplantae; Streptophyta; Magnoliopsida; Ranunculales; Papaveraceae.